GGGCCUCGCGCGAUUGGAGCGGCCGAUAUCGGAUUAGCUAGUUGGUGGGGUAAAGGCUCACCAAGGCGACGAUCCGUAGCGGGUCUGAGAGGACGACCCGCCACACUGGAACUGAGACACGGUCCAGACUCCUACGGGAGGCAGCAGUGGGGAAUUUUGGACAAUGGGGGCAACCCUGAUCCAGCCAUUCCGCGUGAGUGAAGAAGGCCUUCGGGUUGUAAAGCUCUUUCAGCAGGAACGAAACGGCAGGUCUUAAUACGGCUUGCUAAUGACGGUACCUGCAGAAGAAGCACCGGCUAACUACGUGCCAGCAGCCGCGGUAAUACGUAGGGUGCGAGCGUUAAUCGGAAUUACUGGGCGUAAAGCGUGCGCAGGCGGUGACAUAAGACAGAUGUGAAAUCCCCGGGCUCAACCUGGGAACUGCGUUUGUGACUGUGUUACUAGAGUGUAGCAGAGGGGGGUGGAAUUCCACGUGUAGCAGUGAAAUGCGUAGAGAUGUGGAGGAACACCGAUGGCGAAGGCAGCCCCCUGGGUUAACACUGACGCUCAUGCACGAAAGCGUGGGGAGCAAACAGGAUUAGAUACCCUGGUAGUCCACGCCCUAAACGAUGCCAACUAGGUGUUGGGGAAGGAGACUUCCUUAGUACCGUAGCUAACGCGUGAAGUUGGCCGCCUGGGGAGUACGGUCGCAAGAUUAAAACUCAAAGGAAUUGACGG
This 717-nucleotide ribosomal RNA is filed under the name uncultured bacterium. RNAcentral describes it as "bacterial SSU rRNA". It matches the Rfam family "Bacterial small subunit ribosomal RNA", at positions 208 to 916 of the family's 1533-position model. The record is from RNAcentral.